Molecule: long non-coding RNA, 1241 nt
Filed under: Homo sapiens (human)
Lineage: Eukaryota; Metazoa; Chordata; Mammalia; Primates; Hominidae
Description: JUN divergent transcript
Source: RNAcentral
CAGAACAAUGCGGGAGUUGCAGAGAGAGGUGUCCUGUGUUUGUUCCCAGUCUUCCUUCACUCACCUGCACCUGCUCCUGCCCUGCUUCGGCCAACAUGUUCUAUGCAGCUGCUCACUGAUGUCACUUAGAGGAAGGCAGGGGCACAAGAUGGGAGGACCCAGAGCUCCGGGUUCUUAAGCAGCAGAGUUCAUAUCAAGGGCCCAUGUUUUAACUGAAUAUAAUGAAUUUUUUUUUUCACCUUGGAAGAGUCUUAGAGGCAAGAUUAGAAUGUUCAUCUAAAAGGAGUGCAAAUUUCUUCAACCAUUCCCACGGAGGAAGGUCUACUCUGUGAAAAGGAAAUGAUCAUACAUAAUUCAUGCAUUUGCUGUACGGAUUUAAUUAAAUGAUAGACAAAAAGUAGAGUGGCACAAGUCAAACUCAAAAAAUAGUAACAACAAAAUCAAUUUCAAAAUAAGCAACAGCAAUAAAUGUUACCUACUAUUUUACGAAUGAAAAUACUGAGACCAAUAAAGGCAUUAUAGUAUACAUAGCCUUGGAAUCAGAAGACCAAGAACAUACAAGAGAACAUAGCCUUGGAAUCAGAAGACCAAGAAACAAUUUAACUCUGCCCCUCUAGAGCUCUGAGAACUUGGGCAAGCCUUUUACCCUCUUGAAUUUUUGCCACCUUCAAUGAGAAAGACUGAAACAAAAAACUCAGAAGAAAGAAAGAGACUGAGAUAGCAAAUAUGACAAACUGUUAAAAAUUCAUGAAUCUGUUAUGGAAUACUAUGCAGCCAUAAAAAAGGAUGAGUUCCUGUCCUUUGCAAGGACGUGUAUGAAGCUGGAAACCAUCAUUCUGAGCAAACUAAAACAGGAACAGAAAACCAAACACCACAUGUUCUCACUCAUAAGUGGGAGUUGAACAAUGAGAACACAUGGACACGGCGGGGUGGUGGGAACAUCACACACCGGGGCCUGUCAGAGGGGAGGGGGCUAGGGGAGAGAUAGCAUUAGGAGAAAUACCUAAUGUAGAUGAUGGGUUGAUGGGUGCAGCAAACCACCAUGGCAUGUGUAUACCUAUGUAACAAACCUGCAUGUUCUGCACAUGUAUCCCAGAACUUAAAGUAUAAUAAUAAAAAGAGAGAUUAAAAAAAUUGGUGAAUCUGGGCAAAAUGUACACAGGAUUUUUCUGUACUGUUCUUGCAACUUUUCUACAGAUUUGAAAUGUUACAAAAUAAAAGGUAUUUUUAGAAAAAGAGUA